AGCGGCAGCGACUUAACUGAACCUUCGGGGAACGUUAAGGGCGGCGAGCGGCGGACGGGUGAGUAUGCCUGGGAAUUGCCCUGAUGUGGGGGAUAACCAUUGGAAACGAUGGCUAAUACCGCAUAAUCUCUUCGGAGCAAAGAGGGGGACCUUCGGGCCUCUCGCGUCAGGAUAUGCCCAGGUGGGAUUAGCUAGUUGGUGAGGUAAGGGCUCACCAAGGCGACGAUCCCUAGCUGGUCUGAGAGGAUGAUCAGCCACACUGGAACUGAGACACGGUCCAGACUCCUACGGGAGGCAGCAGUGGGGAAUAUUGCACAAUGGGCGCAAGCCUGAUGCAGCCAUGCCGCGUGUGUGAAGAAGGCCUUCGGGUUGUAAAGCACUUUCAGUAGGGAGGAAGGUGUUGUCGUUAAUAGCGGCAACAUUUGACGUUACCUACAGAAGAAGCACCGGCUAACUCCGUGCCAGCAGCCGCGGUAAUACGGAGGGUGCGAGCGUUAAUCGGAAUUACUGGGCGUAAAGCGCAUGCAGGUGGUGAGUUAAGUCAGAUGUGAAAGCCCGGGGCUCAACCUCGGAGUUGCAUUUGAAACUGGCUGACUAGAGUACUGUAGAGGGGGGUAGA
RNAcentral lists this ribosomal RNA (619 nucleotides) under Vibrio orientalis. Its description in RNAcentral is "bacterial SSU rRNA". It matches the Rfam family "Bacterial small subunit ribosomal RNA", at positions 65 to 665 of the family's 1533-position model. The record is from RNAcentral. Lineage: Bacteria; Pseudomonadati; Pseudomonadota; Gammaproteobacteria; Vibrionales; Vibrionaceae.